This 1329-nucleotide ribosomal RNA is filed under the name uncultured Gammaproteobacteria bacterium. Its description in RNAcentral is "bacterial SSU rRNA". It matches the Rfam family "Bacterial small subunit ribosomal RNA", at positions 49 to 1397 of the family's 1533-position model. Lineage: Bacteria; Pseudomonadati; Pseudomonadota; Gammaproteobacteria. The record is from RNAcentral.
UAACACAUGCAAGUCGAGCGAGCGAGAAUGAUUCUUCGGAUAUGGUAAGCGCGGCGGACGGGUAGGUAACCGGUAGGAAUCUACCUGGUAGAAGGGGAUAGCCCGGGAAACUCGGAUUAAUACCGUAUACCUCUUCGGGAGAAAGAGGGCCUCUCUUUGAACGUUUCGCUACUAGAUGAGCCUGCGUAAGAUUAGCUUGUUGGUGAGGUAAAGGCUCACCAAGGCAACGAUCUUUAGCGGGUCUGAGAGGACGAUCCGCCACAUUGGGACUGAGACACGGCCCAGACUCCUACGGGAGGCAGCAGUGGGGAAUAUUGGACAAUGGGCGCAAGCCUGAUCCAGCCAUACCGCGUGUGUGAAGAAGGCCCUAGGGUUGUAAAGCACUUUAAGUUGGGAAGAAAAGUUAUUGGUUAAUACCCAAUAACCGUGACAUUACCUUCAGAAUAAGGACCGGCUAAUUCCGUGCCAGCAGCCGCGGUAAUACGAAGGUCCAAGCGUUAACUGAAUUACUGGGCGUAAGNGUGUGUAGGUGGUUUAUUAAGUUGGAUGUGAAUCCCCGGGCUCAACCUGGGAACUGCAUCCAAAACUGAUUCACUAGAGUACGAUAGAGGGAGGUAGAAUUCACAGUGUAGCGGUGAAAGNGAGAUAUCAUGAGGAAUACCAAUGGCGAAGGCACUCUCUGGACGUAACUGACGCUGAGGUGCGAAAGNGUGGUAGCAAACAGGAUUAGAUACCCUGGUAGUCCACGCHGAAACGAUGACAACUAGCCGUUGGCUUNUCGAGUUCWAUGGCACACGUAACGCAUUAAGUUGUCCGCCUGGGGAGUAGGAGUACCGCCGCAGCUCAAAUGAAUUGACGGGGGCCGCACAAGCGGAGCAUGUGGUUUAAUUCGAUGCAACGCGAAAAACCUUACCAACCCUUGACAUCCUAGUGAAAUUUCUAGAGAUAGAUUUGUGCCUUCGGGAACACUAGACAGGUGUUGCAUGGUGUCGUCAGCUCGGUCGUGAGAUGUAUGGUUAAGUCCAGUAACGAGCGCAACCCUUAUCCUUAUUUGCCAGCACUUCGGGUGGGAACUCUAAGGAGACUGCCGUGAAUAACACGGAGGAAGGUGGGGACGACGUCGAAUCAUCAUGGCCUUACGGGUUGGGCUACACACGUGCUACAAUGGAGAUACAGAUGGUUSSGAAGCGCGAGUUGGAGCCAAUCCCACAAAGUCUUCCUUAGUCCGGAUUGGUGUCUGCAACUCGACUCCAUGAAGCAGGAAUCGCUGUAAUCGCGAAUCAGAAUGUCGCGGUGAAUACGUUCUCGGGCCUUGUACACACCGCCCGU